AUGAGUAACUGCUUUGUGAAGCCGACCUCUCGGAGCGAGGGCGAGAUCCUCCAGUCGGCCAACCUCGCCUACAGGGAGCUCAGGGCGGCCACUAGGAACUUCCGUCCGGACAGUGUGCUCGGUGAAGGUGGCUUCGGGGUGGUAUUCAAGGGGUGGGUCGACGAGACCACCUUUGCCCCGCCCAGCGGCGACAAGACUGGCAUGCCAAUUGCUGUUAAGAAGCUCAACCAGGAAGGCAUCCAGGGCCACAGGGAAUGGCUGGCUGAAGUGAAUUACCUUGGACAAUUGUCGCACCCCAAUCUGGUGAAGCUCCUAGGGUACUGUCUCGAAGACGUGCAGCACCUACUCGUCUAUGAGUUCAUGCCACGCGGAAGCUUAGAGAACCAUAUGUUCAGGAGGGGCUCACAUUUCAAGCCACUGUCAUGGAAUCUGAGGAUGAAUGUUGCUCUUGGGGCAGCCAAGGGGCUCGCAUUCCUACAUAGCGACAAGGCCAAUGUCAUCUACCGUGAUUUCAAGAUGGGAAAUGUUCUUCUUGACUCGAACUACAACGCAAAGCUGUCUGAUUUUGGGUUGGCGAGGGAUGGGCGAGCUGAUGAUAAGAGUCAUGUCUCUACAAGGGUCAUGGGCACAUAUGGAUAUGCAGCCCCUGAAUACCUUGAUACAGGGCAUCUGACGACAAAGUGCGACGUGUACAGCUUCGGCGUUGUGCUGCUGGAGAUGUUGUCCGGCCGGCGCGCCCUGGACAAGAACCGGCCAGCCGGCGAGCACAAGCUGGUGGAGUGGGCAUCGCCGUACCUGACAAGCAAGCGCCGCAUCUCUCAAAUCCUGGACGCGCGGCUGGGCGGGCAGUACCCCCUUGGCAGCGCGCAGAAGGCUGCUGCGCUGGCGCUCAAGUGCAUCUCUGUCGACCCGAAAGCCCGGCCAAGCAUGGAGCAGGUGGUGGCGGUGCUGGAGCAGCUCCAGGACGACAAGGAGACCGUGGUGACUGGUGGAGGCGCCUGCGGCUUCUUCAGGAUGUGUGGCGGUGGCAGGCAGCAGCAGCAGCAGCAGACGUAG
RNAcentral lists this ribosomal RNA (1056 nucleotides) under Triticum aestivum (bread wheat). RNAcentral describes it as "partial small subunit ribosomal RNA". Lineage: Eukaryota; Viridiplantae; Streptophyta; Magnoliopsida; Poales; Poaceae. The record is from RNAcentral.